GACAUAGGUGGCAAGCGUUAUUCGGAAUUACUGGGCGUAAAGGGCGCGUAGGCGGAUAGUUUAGUCAGAGGUGAAAGCCCAGGGCUCAACCUUGGAAUUGCCUUUGAUACUGGCUGUCUUGAGUUCGGGAGAGGUGAGUGGAAUGCCGAGUGUAGAGGUGAAAUUCGUAGAUAUUCGGCGGAACACCAGUGGCGAAGGCGACUCACUGGCCCGAUACUGACGCUGAGGCGCGAAAGCGUGGGGAGCAAACAGG
This 253-nucleotide ribosomal RNA is filed under the name uncultured bacterium. RNAcentral describes it as "partial 16S ribosomal RNA". It matches the Rfam family "Bacterial small subunit ribosomal RNA", at positions 524 to 776 of the family's 1533-position model. The record is from RNAcentral.